This 484-nucleotide ribosomal RNA is filed under the name uncultured bacterium. RNAcentral's name for it is "partial 16S ribosomal RNA". It matches the Rfam family "Bacterial small subunit ribosomal RNA", at positions 30 to 507 of the family's 1533-position model. The record is from RNAcentral.
AUUGAGCGCUGGCGGCAGGCCUAACACAUGCGAGUCGAGCGGAUGAAGGGAGCUUGCUCCUGGAUUCAGCGGCGGACGGGUGAGUAAUGCCUAGGAAUCUGCCUGGUAGUGGGGGAUAACGUCCGGAAACGGGCGCUAAUACCGCAUACGUCCUGAGGGAGAAAGUGGGGGAUCUUCGGACCUCACGCUAUCAGAUGAGCCUAGGUCGGAUUAGCUAGUUGGUGGGGUAAAGGCCUACCAAGGCGACGAUCCGUAACUGGUCUGAGAGGAUGAUCAGUCACACUGGAACUGAGACACGGUCCAGACUCCUACGGGAGGCAGCAGUGGGGAAUAUUGGACAAUGGGCGAAAGCCUGAUCCAGCCAUGCCGCGUGUGUGAAGAAGGUCUUCGGAUUGUAAAGCACUUUAAGUUGGGAGGAAGGGCAGUAAGUUAAUACCUUGCUGUUUUGACGUUACCAACAGAAUAAGCACCGGCUAACUUCGUG